GGGGCUAUAGCUCAGUGGCAGAGCGCAUGCCUAGCAUUCAUGAGGCACUGGGUUCACUCCUCAGCACCUCA
This 71-nucleotide transfer RNA is filed under the name Marmota monax (woodchuck). RNAcentral's name for it is "tRNA.Ala". Lineage: Eukaryota; Metazoa; Chordata; Mammalia; Rodentia; Sciuridae. The record is from RNAcentral.